This 450-nucleotide ribosomal RNA is filed under the name Yarrowia lipolytica. RNAcentral describes it as "LSU rRNA". It matches the Rfam family "Eukaryotic large subunit ribosomal RNA", at positions 89 to 501 of the family's 3401-position model. The record is from RNAcentral. Lineage: Eukaryota; Fungi; Ascomycota; Dipodascomycetes; Dipodascales.
GCGAGUGAAGCGGCAAAAGCUCAAAUUUGAAACCCUCGGGNUUGUAAUUUGAAGAUUUGGCAUUGGAGAAAGCUAACCCAAGUUGCUUGGAAUAGUACGUCAUAGAGGGUGACAACCCCGUCUGGCUAACCGUUCUCCAUGUAUUGCCUUAUCAAAGAGUCGAGUUGUUUGGGAAUGCAGCUCAAAGUGGGUGGUAAACUCCAUCUAAAGCUAAAUACUGGUGAGAGACCGAUAGCGAACAAGUACUGUGAAGGAAAGGUGAAAAGAACUUUGAAAAGAGAGUGAAAUAGUAUGUGAAAUUGUUGAUAGGGAAGGAAAUGAGUGGAGAGUGGCCGAGGUUUCAGCCGCCCCUCGUGGGCGGUGUACUGCCGACGCCGAGUCAUCGAUAGCGAGACGAGGGUUACAAAUGGGAGCGCCUUCGGGCGUUCUCCCCUAACCCUCCACACUGCC